Molecule: long non-coding RNA, 20323 nt
Filed under: Prunus persica (peach)
Lineage: Eukaryota; Viridiplantae; Streptophyta; Magnoliopsida; Rosales; Rosaceae
Description: long non-coding RNA (PPER_LNC001445)
Source: RNAcentral
CCUAAUUCAAAUUAACAUUCAUAAUUCGCCAUCAUUGACGGGAAGACCCGAAUUAAUCCCCUUAAUUAUGCCACGAAGAAGCAUAAACACAUUUUAAGAAUAACAUCUGCUCUGUGAGAGUUUGUGGAGACAGACAGAUCCACCACCCACCAUCCAGCUGGUUCUCAAAAGGCAAUUCUAAUGCUACCUGCGGGUCGUGAAGAAAAGAGGAAGAUUUUUCAAUUUAAUUAGCCCCCAAAAAAUAGCAUGGAAAAUACCCCCAAAGGGCCCUAAAUAUACCCUUACCCACUGGGCAUAUUUGUCAAUAAACACUGAAAUUAGGGAUUUUUUCAGGACCCAAACACAAUUGCUAUAGUCGGUGACCCAGAGCCUAUCAAAUUAUAAACUCAUUACGUGUUGCAGUUGGAAUUACAGCUUUAUUCUGUUAGAAUAAAUGAUUAAUUUACACCGACUUGGCUACGCCGCUUUUUUGGUCCAAGCGAAAAUAAAAUAAUUGGAUCUGGAUUUGUAAUUUGCCGCUUUUUAUUUGCAGGUAAUGAAAAUGAAAUAACAAUUUGGAUAUUAGUUAAUUUUGAUAUCACAAGCUAGACAAACACCAUUCUCAAAGCAACUCAAGCAUCAAACACAGGAGGAGGAGGAGGAGGAAGACAAACGAAAUAAAAUCAAUGAAUUAUUUACUCAUAAUAAGGAUAAUAAUCGAAAUCCACAAAUACAAAACCCAUAGUAAUAAACCAAGUGCAUUAUAUAUGUAGUCUAUGCACCACAAAAACCCAUAUGACACUGAAAAUCCUAUAGAUCCAUAAUCACCAGCUACUAAAAUGACAAACGCUACUAAUAAAAAACCAAUCAGAAACCCAACCGCUCUCUACACAGCCCCAACCAUAGUUGCAGUAGUAAGCGAAGACUCAAACCCUGAGCGCAGAUCCGAAGACGAUAGCGGCGAAGGCGGCGGCGAAAGCAGAGAUGAACGACGGGGAGAUGGAGGCGGAUGCGGAGGUUGGGCUAGGAGCUGGAGAUUCGGCGGCCUGAGCGGCGCCGAUGACAGAAAGGACGGUGACGAAGACCGCCAUGAGAGCCACGAGUGAAGUUGCCUUUGAGACUGCCAUUGUUGAUUGGUGUGAGAGUUUCUUGUGCUUCGGAAUCUAGGGUUUUGGGAAUACGCCGAGAGACUGAAGCACAAAUAUCAGAGGUGGAAUGAAGUAGGCUCAAGGAACGUAUUUAUAGCGGGGAUUUUGGGCUGGGGUCGGGCAGCCUGGGCAGCUGCCCGGUUCUACAGGCUGGCUACUUGUGAUUGGUUCAGCGCGACAGCUCACACCGCUGGUCGGGGUAAAUUUUUCUCUGUGGGCCCCACUAGAAACCAGUGUCUACGCGGAGUCGUUUCACGCACGAUUUUACCUUCGUCUGAAACGACGCCGUGUGUUCACAUUCCUUAACGAAAGGGCUUUUCGCUUCGCGGCCGAGUCGACUCAGUGGAGAAUAUAUUCGCAAGAAUCUUCUAGCUUGCGACGCGCGGAUCAGAUUCUGUCCGUACGGUGUCAUUUGAGUCACAUCACAUGAUGAACGGUCCAGAUGAACCCGUGGGAACACGUGGGAAUGGAAGAGGUUAUAACGGUUUCGCGGUAAAAAAAUUUGGUUUUUUAUUUAUUUUUAAACUUAAAAAAUGGCCCACAAUGCGCAAUCAGGGAGAUUACAGCGCAGAAAACACAGAGAGGAUGCGUGACUUUCUGGUGAGCGACUCGAUGGCCAACGGGCGAUCGACACGUGGGGAUUUCGAAAAAGACAGGUUGUUAAAUUGCGAGGAAAAAGAUACGACAGGUGUAGGGUGGGAUUUGGUUCUGUUGCUUCUGAUAUUUUUAUUUCGCGGGAUUUCCAGAACAUUCGCUUGGCAUUUUGCGUUUUGGAGUUGAGGGGCGCACAUGCGUGCGGGUGAAGUUACCGUAAUGCCCUUGAGAGUGAUUGGGUGCGUGUCAAUUUUAUAUUCACGUUCAUUAUGAGGAGCUAUGAGUAUCUACUUAAGAAAACCAAAAGGAAUGUGGCGCUGAAUCUGAAUGGGUUUGAAGUCCAUUAAUGCGUUCCAGGGCUUUUCAACAUUUUGUUCCAUAUUCCAUGCCGUGCCCACUGGCUAAUGGGUUUGAUGUGGGCCCAACAUAUUCUUUUCUCGUCAAAUCCAAAUAAAGAGGCCGGGUGUUACGGGAGCUCCUAUAAUCCAGGUCGGUUUAUGUCGUCGAAGUUUCAAUUCAGCUGUCUAAUAAUAAUACUCUUAAAGUGUUGUUGAACGAACUCACAAAUUAACUGUGUUCACUUUACUAAUAAACUAUUUAUUGAAUUAUCAAUUUGCUCUAGUAUAAAAUGACCAAAAAUGAUAUAUUGAAUUGUGAAAUAAAUGUAAUGUUAAUAAAUACACCAUACACUAAAUAAAUAAAUAAAAAUUACACCUUUCUCACUAUAUUCAACCAAAUUGAACUUUUGUUUUCUUUUUCUUUUUCUUUUUCUUUUUCUUUUUUGGGUUUGUUUGUUAACCUCAAUAAUAAUAAAUGAAUAAUUAGGGAGGGACCAACCAUAAAGCCAAGCAGGAUUAACAAAUAUGUAUAGAGAUGGGUUAGUAUUAUGAGACAACCAUCACAAUGUCUGUCUGAUUCAUAUAGAACUGCAUAAUUAAUGACAAUGAUGAUAUUAGUGUGUAUCAGGGGUAUUUUUAAAGUUUUUAUAAUUGUGUAUUAGUGUGUAUCAGGGGUAUUUUUGGUAGUUAAAUAUGGUGUACUUAGUUAAUUUUACAUUUUGAUUUAAAUAUUAAAGUAUGUUUAGAUCAUAGGGUGUACUUAGUUAAUUUCAGAGUUCGUUUAGCAAUGCUCUACUUUUAUUGAUCAGACAACUAUGAAGACUCCCACACUAUAGCCUCAUACAAGUGGUACGCAGCAUAAAUGGGCAUGUAAACCAUAGAGGACCAAGAUAUAGAACCGUUGACGCACGUAAGUUCCACAAUACUGUUAAUAUAUGUGCGGGCGACUCCGAGUAACUGUUAACCUAGAGUCAGAGAAAUGAAAUUCAAAUAUAAAAUAUUUUAUUCUAAUGUCGAUUUCUGAAUACAAAAAUGUGAAUUUGAUGCAGUGCUAAAUAAGGUGUGCUACUUCUCUGUACAUCUGAUACUGAUACUGUUGUGGACGGGGGUUUUGGCCAAAGAGCUAUCAAGUGAACCUCAACUAAUAAUAAUAUUACAGCUGAGGUUGAAUUCUAUGAUGACAAAUAACACACACCACAAACAGGGAAUUUUGCAUGCUCUUCGGCUAGAGAAGUUUGAUUUGACUGAGGAUUUAUGUGUUAGAAGCCCAAAAACUUUGGUGCUAAAUGCAGAAGGGGUUCCAUAGCACUUGGAGCAAAUUUUCUUCCAAAAAGAAAGCAGAUUGAAGAGUUCCGGUCGUUGUAAGUGCAGCGAUGACCCUCGAGCAUUCUCUUGAAGAAUUCCUCAGUGAUAUCAGCUCUUCCAAAGGUAGCUGGGUGAGGUCCACCCCUUGACCAAUCCACCCAAGUGAUGCUUCUGUUUGCUAAGGAAUUCCCUGCUUGAAUGGUUAGCAUGGUGGGGAAAUAGUGCUCAUCAACAUAACAUGCGGGUCUACAGAACUUUUCAAAUUUUUGGUAAAAUGUCGUAUCUUCGACAAUGCUGAUGGCAAGCUUCCGGUUAACUUCAAACCAUUGGGAGCCCUUGCGCCACUGGGUUAUAUUCACUUCAGGUGCCAUGUUAUUAUUAUAGCGUCCUCUCCCGAAUGGCCCAGGGUCGUCAAAUGCACCGAUGAAGCUGUACUUGGAUUUCAUUAAGUAGUGGUAAAUGACACUGAAGUUAUAGAGCGGAAUGCAAGAUUCGGAAACAAGAAUGAACCAUUCAUUGGAUAUGUCAAGCAAUGCAUUAGCAAGGAGCCUUCUCUCAGCAUCACACAUACUCAUUCUUCCCCACUCAGAAACCUGCACAGCAGAAAACCAAAACUCUUAGCAGAUAUGUAAGAGAUAUUGCAUAAUAUCUAUCCAGAUUUGAACAGAAAAAAUUUCUACAGCAGCAACCAAGAUGACCUCAAAGAAAUUAGACAAAACAAGUUAUCCUCAAGCUACAAAGCAACAACAAUAUAAUUUUCCCUGGAUACUCUGUUUUUGAAGCUACUAACUGCGGAUCAUGAGUUUCUCUUUUGUUCAAAACACCCAGGUUAAAAAGUAAAACAAGCAGAGAUUUUAUGGAAUAUGUUCAUGAAUCUGAAAUAAAUACUUGGUAUGUUUCUAUACAAGCUUGAACUCUAUCACAAAGCAUCAUUCACAUAAAUAAUUAAUUUCUUCCUCAUAACCUGAAGGCAGAUAUCAUGACAGUAUGGAAAUGUCAUGAUUGUGGCACGAGAACAAGUCAGGAAUCAAGAACGUAGAUUAAAAAAAAAACAUCAGGACUAUGUGAAGAGGUCCAGGGUGCCACCCCAGUAGUCAAUGCCUUUACAUCAGCUGUUCAUCAUGUACGAAAACAUUUAUGCAUCUGCUUUUUUCAUGUUUAUAAACACAGGUGUUGUAAUAGUCUCAAGAUCCAAAAGUUAGCAGCAGAUGGAGUGGACCUAGUGGAGUUUCACAUGCAGGAUUGUCAAAUUCAUGGAAUAAAGAGUCAAAUCCAUUCACUUAGUUGAGUUUGCACUUGACACACGAGUCCAUGGAACAAAUAGGGCGUCCUGCCCUCCCCAAGAGAUGGUCUAUAUAUCCUACAUCACUGUAAUUCUCAAUACAUGAACAUGAUAAAACUGACCUGUUCCUUUCUACCAACACACAGAAAGGUAGUUUUAACCCUUUCUUUGAUGAUAAGCAAAAAUUACCAACUCUUGGAAAGAUGAAUUUCGGAUUUCAUCAUGUCUUAAGCUUCACAUACAUAACCUAACAUUUUUAAAUGCAAGAGACCAGGGUGUGUGCUCACCACAGAGCAAAUAUAGGAAAUCAAGAUGUGCAGAAAGUAAAAACCAGAUAAACCAGUGAUAGAGAACUAGAUAUCUACGAAUUUACCUCAAAAUAAAAAAUAAAAAAAUAAUUUUGUACUUGCUGAAGGAUGCUUAGUAGAACAUGCAAUCUCACAAAGGAUAGAAUAUGGACCUGGCUAGGAAUGUGUCUCCCAUAAAAAACGGACGAAGUGUGAAAAUGAGGUUGAAAUGACGGCAGUGAAUGAACGUAGAUUGAAUAACGUCCUUCAUGUCCCUUCAGAAACCUCUCCCAAAGGGGUGCCAGCGGCAACGGCCCCCUGGUCAAGAACAUAAAUGCAAUCUUUGGAACUCUCUCAAAAGGAUACUUCUUUAUUCUAGGCAUAAGAGAAGCCCUCCACAAUAAUUCCUUAUCAGUCAUAGUGUGUUGAAGAUUUGAUGGCGGCUUAAUCCACCGGUCCAAACCACUCGGUUCCUCAUAGCAUGGCUGGAAAGAGGACGUGACCGUUGUCAUCACCCCAUUAAUUCCAAAAUGACGAAUCGUCAAUAUGCUAAUGACUGAGAAAGUAAUACAGAAAAGCACAAACAGCACAAACAACUGAAGUAGCCUUAUCGGCAAUGCCUUGGUUUGGUUUGUCCUGCCAGUAACUCCGGGGUCCUUGCCUUCCUCUAAUGGCACAACCCUUGAUUGCAUGGUUUGCAUCUUGAUUAAAACACUGCACCAAAAUCAAUUUCUAGCUCUUCUGAUUACUACAGAGUACCUCCAAGUCUCAAAAUUUUGGACACCUAUUGACUUCUCUCAAACAAGAAAACCCACAGUCCAAAAUUGCAUCUUGCAUCACAAACGGUGAAGUGAACACGAAUUUAAUCACAUUGGAAUCUGAAUCACUCAGUUUUCUUCAAAACUGCAACCCCACCAAAUAAAAACACACUGCACAGAUCUGAAACUAAUACUACAGUACUGAACACAUACUGCGUAAAAAAUUUUAACUUCAGCACAUGGGUUCUUAAUAAACUGAGCUUAUAUCAACGAUCUAAGCUAAGAUCAUACAAAUAUGGAUCGAACUUCUCUUUCACCAGAGAAAAAAGUAUGACAUACCAUGUGACUUUUGAGGUUGAAAGCUAAAUUGAUGAAGACGAAUGAAGGAUUUAGAUCCUUGUAUUUGACUGCUUGAAUUGCGCCCAAGAAUACGGGAAGUGGUCAAUUGGAUGAAGAACAAGAGAACAGAAGGAGGAGGUCACGCAGAGGAGACUUUGGCGGCAGAAACAAAAAGGUGCAGUGACCAAUAAUAAUGAGAGAGUUUGAAAAACUUGGGGAGAAGUCUUGACCGAGUGUGCGCGUUGUGUGUGAGAUGAGAGAAUUGUGAGGAAGACGACGACUCUGUGAUGAUCUGUAGAAUCUCAAGUUUUAAGAAUGUCUCUCACACGGUGCGGUGCGAGUGAGGAGGGAGAGGGGAUCCAGCUUGUCGGCUAACUUGGGAGUGUGAUAUAUAAGCACCCAUCCAGUUUCAUAGCUUGGUGGAAAAACGAACUUGCCUCAUCUGUUGCGUGUGUGUAUUUUUGGGUAAAUUCAUUAGUGACUAAAAUGAUAAAAAUCGACCUUCGGAUGCGAUUACUAUGUUUUGAUUAUUUUUUUUCUUUUUUAGUAGAAGCGAUAGUUUCUAAACUGAAUGAAAGUGGAAUUUCUCACACACACACAUCUAUAAUGUCAUGGAGAUUCAAACUUGAGACCUCUAUUAUGCAAGUUAAAAUUUUUCCACGCAAUAGACCCUGUUGGCGAUACACUUUGAUUUUAAGAUGGGCAGAUAACAAUAGAAACUUUAUUUUAUUUAUUAUUAAUUGCAAGCACCCUAUUGGAACACGUUUCACCCUAUUGGAGCAUAAUUAGCAUCAAAGCAAGAAAAUCAACUAUUUUCCCCCCUCAUAGCCGCAUAAAAGAACAGAUAAAAGGAUAGAGUAUAGAAGCCUAAGUACAGAUGUAAAUGUAAUUAUUGGUUAGAGAUUGGGUUUAGUUUAAACAAGUUAAUGAGGCUUUGAUUGGUUGUUGAAGCUUAAUGUCUUAUGGUGGUGGAGAACCCAAUUGUAUCAAACAACGUAAUAAACACGACGUGGUGUAGUUGGGCAGACCGCAAGUCUUGGCCUCUAGUUAGGUGGGAUUUCAGUUCUUUCACCAAACCAAACAAGCCAUGAGGAAAGCUAAAGAAAGUCUAAAGGUAGGAGCCAUAUGUAGGAUCAAAUCUGCCUAGUAACCAGUUGUAUAUCCCCUUCUGUCUACAACACUUUACAUUACGUAAUCGGUUGCAUAUUUCUAUUCUAUCUGUUUAAAACAAUCAUCAUCUAUAUAUAUAAAGCAAAAGGUAGAGAAUGGUGAAACAUUCAAAAUACCAGAAAAUAUCCUUGGUUAAUGCAAACAUUAAGAACUAAACUUAUUAAUUAAAUGAGGAUAAUAUGGUAAAUUUACACUUUUUAUAAAAAAUUAAAAUUAAAUAAAAAAUAAUGGAUCUUAUUUUUAUGGAACACUUUUUAAUUCUAAAAAAAUUUUAAAUUUUUUUUAAAAAAAUGCCUCUCGCAAGCGCGUGCAGAGAAGCUAGUGUUACAUAAUGAGUGUUGUAGACACGAGAAUACAAAACCGGAGAUAGCUAAGAUUCUCUCCAUAUGUUGAGUCUACACCUACCUACAACCGCAUCUAAGAUUCCCCCAGCAAUAAGGACACAGGGACAGCUGAGGAUCCAAAAUGGUUCAUAUACAUGGGGUCCCGAUCUCGAUCUAAACUUCGUUAAAAAUAAAGUUGAUUGGUUGAUAGAAUCAACCACACUCAAAAAAACAAGCAGUUUUAACUCGAGAGAGGAGUAGAAUCAACCACACUAAAAAAAAUAAGCAGUUUUAACUCGAGAGAGGAGUAGAAUCAUAAAGCCUUCGCUGCUGUGAAUGGCGAUCCUGCAAAACAAUUCAUGAUGUAACUGUGAUUUGCAAAGAAAACCAUCCAUGCAUUCAUUUUGAACGUGUGAUAUAAUAACACGUCAUAUCGACAAUGAGAUCCUUGAAAACUGAGCAACGUCACAACAUUAGGUCUGUAAUUUGCCAGUAUAUCUACUGUCUAUGAAAACGCCAAAGUUGAAGACUAAAACUAAGAUACUACAGAGCGUUUUCUGCUCACAGUCACAGCACAUGAAACAGCUAAGAUGUAGAUGUUUCUAUCUUAUUCACAAAGGAACAGUUAGCUCCACAUCCCAAAUUCUAUAUACCAUGGCAUAUUUCUUGUAGCAUAUACCACUCUACUUCACCACAAAACUGGCACGGAGGUUGGAAACCAUAACUGGGCACUCUCCCUUCUCAUCAUAUUCAACAAAGUCCCCUCCCGACAAGUCAACAUGGUCAAAUUUUGUCCCUUCCACCUACAAGAAUGAACACUAGUUUAAGUUGAAAUAAAGAUGCAUCCAGCAGAGUCGAUUGCAGUACAUAAAAAUGAAAACUAGAACUUCAAAAAUCGAAACUAUUCUCCUAUUUUCAAAAAUUCAACAAUUCAAAUGCAAAAAUUCAAUUCACUGGGGCCUCUAGUAAUUCGUUUUUCACUCCUUGUUUCUUUUUCUAAAUUUCAUUAUCAAUCUAAUUUUCACUUUUAUUCUCCUUGGGGUAGGGAAUGGCGAUAGGCGGGCAUGACACUCCUGGCCAAGCAGAACAGUAAAAAUGAGUUGACAUUUGGUGACACCAUCUCUGGUCCAAUCCACAUGGUAGGCUUCCAUAGUAAAUCUAGUGUACAAGACAAUUAUACUGUUUGUGGGAUGCCCUUAACGUCAGAAAAAUAAAAUAUCACUAUUUUCUGCAGUUCCCACCUCUUGAAUAUGAUAUGCUCAUGAGAUGUACUAACCUUAAGAUCUUUAUGCUAAAGGACAGAGACCUGAGCUUUCUCACCCCAAAAAGAAAGGAUCAGAACUCAAAAGGACAAAAAUACCAAAAUAAGCUUUGAAAGGCGCUACCACAUUAUGGAAUAGGAUAUGCAAUCCUUAAUGCUUAAUGUACUAUGUACUAUAAGUACAAACAAGGAGAGUUAAGAAGAGAAGAAUAAAAGAAUUUAUACAUAUGCGCUGAAGUUCAUAGGAGUUAGUGAGAUUUAGUGCUUAGGAAUGUUCGCACGAUUACUAUUUAUAAGACCAUUCAGCUCAAAGGUCCCAGCAAAGUCAUUUUCCAUCCAUAAGUACAAUAAGAAAGUUUUAUACAAUAUGCUACAUAAUUGGAAGGUGGUGUGUGAAGAAGAGAAACUUACAGAUUCAACCUUCCACCCACUAGCAAAUACAUAGUCCACAGGCUCAUAACCCCUGCACUCAAACAUCAUCAAGGGGGAAAAUUUCCUUUCUUCACACAUUUGCUGGGUCAGUGGUUUACCAUGACCUGGCAUCAUUGUCAGAGUUCCAUCCCUUCCACAAAACUUGCACUACAAGGGGAGAUGCAAAUCACCACACAUAUAUAGCAAACUUAACCAGAAAAUAUUCGUUCAAAGAUAAAACAUAAAGGGAACAACCCCCAUAUCCAUGAAUUGAAGAUAUGCAAUAGUAAUAACUUAUGUCAACGUAGUUGACUCAUAUGUCAUCAAAUAGAAACUGCACAGAGAAAUGUGUUGGAACCCACACAUGUAAACUUUAACCAAGAGAAGAGAAAUGAAAUCCCGAUAAAAUCUCAAAGUUGUCGCUACAAUUAGGCACCCAAACAAACAAAGCAUUUGCUCAACCAAACAAGCAUACUACAGAAAACACAAACUACCAUAACUCUUCUGUUCCUUUCCUUCUAUUUCCUCAGAAACUAAAUAUACUUCAAUAAGCUCUUAAAUUCCAAAGCCCAUUGAGCAAUUAGUAGAGAGAGAGAGAGAGAGAGAGAGAGAGAGAGAGAGAGAUAAUGGUUACCUUCUGAACGAGAUUAACGGUUGCCUUGCCCGAUGGAAGAGGAACAGUCUCGUUCAAGCUCACACAAGUUUCCCUCUGGCUCAGCUCUCCACACCUCUCACAUUUCAACUGCAAGAUUACAAAAAGAAUAGAAUCAUGUUAAUAAUGACUAUAUCAAGCUCGGGAGACUAAGCGACGAACAUCGACGUCAAUUUUAAGCUACAACCCCUAGAAAUCUGAACACGAACACCAACUAUAAUGACAAAAUCGACUGCAUUUUUGGAGCAAAAAACUUGACGAAAGGAAAUGAAGGUGACCUUGAAGAGAUAGGAAAAGUUGGGGUCGUUGCAGCCUUCCUGGGGCUGAAGGUUCGUCAGGUUCUCGAGGUCCGCAGCGAUCUGAAGUAAAAAUUUCACCAUUUUCGAUUUGGCGUCAAUCUCGAGCUGCUCACCGCGUCUUUGUCUCACUGUGUGUAGCUAGUGGCAGGAUGAGUAAUAAAUAAGGGGGGCUUGGGCGACGAAUAGACGCUAUCAGUUAAACGGCGUCGUUGUGCGGAAUUUAAUUUUUUUCCGACACGGGGAUUUUUAGCUCAAGUUAACUACAAUUUACCCUAAAAUCGAUGGCCUAUGUUCGAAUCAUCUUUCUUAAUAUCGUUUGUAUUUUAAAAAAUAUUAAAUUAUAUGAAUCAUAUUGUGAUACCUGUUACAAAGAGAAGUUUAAUAUUAUGAAAGUCUUUCAAGUAGCAAAUGUGAAUUAGGUCAGUUAGUCAAAGUAGUGUGUCCAUCUUUUUUCACAUUAGUUUUUAGAUUUAUGAUAAUAGUACUUCAUUUGAAAUUUUGAAGGCCAUUGAAGUGAAGGAACCAAAGCAAUAUUGUAGGAAUUUAACAAUCAUUUUGCCAUUCUAAUUUGUGAGGACACGUCAUAAUGUUAGUCCUCAUACCAUUUUCCAUUUUACACACCGCAGUUCAAAUAUUGGACCAAAAAACAAAACGAAAUUGGCAUGAUUGGAAGGUGAACCAUGCAAAGUUUGCAGAUAUGUAAUCAGAAUCAUGUGCUACAUAUUAUGGAGGCACUGUCCUUGAAGAGAUUCAACUAGUGUUGGGAUCUUAGCCCAUCUCAUAUACUGAAAGAAAGAUAAUUUCCAUUUCAUGAUUUUGGGUGUUUGUGAUUAGUUAACAACAAAUUAAUGGGGGGAAGGGGGUUGUUUGGUGGUGAAGGGAUUGGAAUAAGGGGCAUAAUGGUAAUUAUGUUGGGAGCAACUGUGACUCUUAUUAGAUGUGGGGUGCUUGUGGAGGGUAAGUUGUUCUCUAAACAGAAGAUUUUGGAAGCCGAAAGACAAUUAAACCAACUUAGAAGGCCUGCAGUUAAAACCAUUCAGGUAAGAAUUGUCCAGAACUUGAGCCCUUCACAUAAGUUUUCUGCAUUGUAUUCAUUUACUCAGUUCAUAUUAAUCUCUAUGAUUGCUUGUAGAGUGAAGAUGGUGAUAUCAUUGAUUGCAUUGACAUCUACAAGCAGCCAGCUUUUGAUCAUCCUGCUCUCAGAAACCACACCAUCCAGGUCUGCCUUCUGUUGUGCAAGUUGAAAGUAGACAAAGAUUUACUCUGCAACUUUAAUCUUUUUGCUACCAUAUAACAACUGCUUUGAGUCUUUUUUUCAGAUGGCACCAACAUAUGAUACAACCAAGGAGACAAAGACAAUGAAAAAAAUGGACAGAUGGAAGAAGAGGAAUGAAGAACAAUCUCCCAUUACCGUGAAGCAAACAUGGCACAAAAGUGGAAGCUGUCCUCAGGGAACAAUCCCGGUCCGAAGAAUCCAGAAAAAGGAGCUUCUGAGAGCUAGCUUGGUUAAGGACUAUGGAAGAAAGAAGCACAGUUCUACCUUGUCUCGUCAUGUUUCACAGUUAAGUGACAACAAAACUGUGUACCUUCAACGAGCAAACCACUCGGUACAUCAAUUCCCCACACACACAUUUUUAAUUCAUUGGAAAAUUAACUACAACUAUACACCUAAUGAAGAGGGUUUUUUUUUCUCUGUGUGUAAUUUGUGAUGGCAUCAGAAGGCAAUAUUGUUUACAGAAGGGUACAGAUAUAAUGGAGCCAAAGGAGACAUCAAAGUUUAUAACCCAUCUGUCGAGCUUGAUGAUGAAUAUAGUACUUCUCAAGUUUGUCUCAUAAAUGGUGCUUAUUAUGACUUUGAGAGUGUUGAAUCUGGAUGGGCGGUAUAUAUAUAUUAACAUAAUAAACCCUUUCACUUUCAUCUUGAAGCUACUUACUUCUUCUGUCAUAUUAUGUUCAUGGCAUAACUUUUUAGUCUGAAAAAUUACUCUAAUCCCUCUUCAGGUAAAUCCCAGUGUAUACGGGGACAGACAGACUCGAUUUUUCGUGUAUUGGACUGUAAGCAGCCAUGAAUAAAGACUUAACAUUCAUGCGAGUAAUUCCACUAGAUUUGAUGUGAUUUCUGAUGUUUCUGCAGGUUGAUGGCUCACAGAAAACUGGUUGCUUUGAUCUCACUUGUCCUGGAUUUGUUCAGACUAGCCAUGAAAUUGCUCUUGGUGCAGCAAUCCAUCCAAUCUCUGUUCCUCAUGGGCUUCCAUAUCAAAUAAUAGUCUACAUCUACAAGGUCAGGUCAACAGUUUAACAACAUAACGCGCUUGAUGAACAGUUUAGCAACAUAACAUGUCUAACAUUAUUCGUAAUACUAAAUAAGUUUUCCUAUCGUAUCUUCAAUUGAAUUUCUUUUUUGUUUUGCCUCCAAAUUUAGGAUCCAGUAACAAGCAACUGGUGGGUGCAAUAUGGGGAGAGAAUUAACAUCGGUUACUGGCCGCCGGAGCUGUUUGUUUUAUUGAGCUACCAUGCAACAAGUGUUGAAUGGGGAGGUGAAGUUUAUAGCUCAAGAGUGGGAACUACGCCUCACACAAGAACAGAUAUGGGCAGUGGACACUUUGCUGAGUCAUCAGUUUGGGGGACUUCAGGCGUCAUAAAAAGAAUUCGAGUACAUGAGAAUUCACCUGGGCUGAAAUUCCCUGAUAUAGUUAAUACUUUGAUGGAUGAGUUCAACUGUUAUGAUGUCAAGUAUCUUUCGGAUUAUGUUGAAGAUCCUGAGUUCUAUUAUGGAGGGCCUGGUAGAAAUUAUAUGUGCCCUUAAGCUUAUGUUAACUUUGCUAGGACUUGUUUAAGACCCCAUUAGAAUGGGUAAUUAUGUUGUUUUAAACUUUCAUUAGUUAUUUUUUCAAUAUCAAACUCUGUAAACCCCAUCUUAUUUCUCAAAAUGACAUAGUUUUAGACAUAGACACGAUACAAGCACUAAAAACACAAGUGGAUAAUCCUAUUUCGUCCCCAAAAGGAAAAGCCUUAGAGAGUGGAAAUCUCCUAAUAAAUUGGUAAAAAUUAGGCAUAUUAAUUUUAAUUUCUAUCCAGAGGUUGCGCAAUAUUUGAAUUCAGAUUUAGAGGGAAGUGAAGUUUUUGGUGUAUAGGCAUCGAUUGUGUGUUACACUAACAUAACAUGUAUAACUUUGCACAAACGACUUGGAAUUUCAUUUUUUAUAUAUAUAAUAAUCGAGAAAAAUAUUUGUCUCAUUUCUUAAAAUGAGUCAUUCCUCCUUACAUGCAAAUUACAAUUUGACAUGAUCUACACGUGUUAGGUUGACUCGUUUAAUUCUACUAUUGACACGUAGCAUUAUCUCCUAAUAACAUAGAAAUUUAACAAUCAUACUGUAGAAAUUUAACAAUCAGUUCAUACUGUAGAAACCAAGCCAUACUGUAGAAAUUUAACGAUCAGUUCUUCUUUGGCUAAAGAUUUAUGUAGCUGGGUUUACCAAGGUUAAGGACACACUUGUCCAAAUAUUCAACAGCUACCAUUUUGAAUUUAACACUUGGCAAUUCAAAUAUAGAAUAAAAAUGUGAAAUUUGCAUGAUUUGGAAGGUGAAUCAUGCAAAUUUUGCAGUAUAUGUAGUUUGCAGAAGAUAUGUAUGCUGCACAUUGUGGGUGGCAUUGUCCUUAAAUAACCUAAGCUUAACUUAGAUUCUGAAAGCAAGAUAAUCAGUUUCCAUUUUAUGAUUUUGGGUAUUUAAAUUACCUGAGAUUUAGUAUAUAAUCAAACAAAUGGGGAAAGGGUUGUGUAGUGGUGAAGUGAUUAGAUUAAGGGGGAUGAAGAUGAUGGUAAUUAUGUUGGGAGUGACAGUGACUCUAAUUAGAUUUGGGGUGCUUGUAGAGGGUGAUUUGUUCUCUAAACAAAAGAUUUUGGAAGUUGAAAGAAAAUUAACCCAACUUAGAAGACCUGCAGUUAAAACCAUUCAGGUUUGAAUUGUCCAGAAUGAGCCCUCCACACAUAAGUUUUUUUAUUAUUGUAUUCAUUCUCAGCUCAAAUGAUUGUUUGCAGAGUGAGGAUGGUGAUAUCAUUGAUUGCAUUGACAUUUACAAGCAGCCAGCUUUUGGUCAUCCUGCUCUCAGAAACCACACCAUCCAGGUCUGCCUUUCUGUUGUUCUAGCUGAAAGUAAAAAAAAGAAAAGAUUUACUCUGCAACUUCAAUCUUUUUACUACCAUAUAACAAGUGGUUUGAGUCUUUUUUUAGAUGGCACCUACAUAUGAUGCAACAAAGGAGACAAAGACAAUGGGAAAAAUGGACAGAUGGAAGAAGAGGAAUGAAGAACAAUCUCCCACUACAGUGAAGCAGACAUGGCACAAAAGUGGAAGCUGUCCUCAGGGAACAAUCCCGGUCCGAAGAAUCCGGAAAAAGGAGCUUCUGAGAGCCAGCUCGGUUAAGGACCAUGGAAGAAAGAAGCACAGUUCUACCCUGUCUCGUCAUGUUUCAGAGUUCAGUGACAACAAAACUGUGAACCUUCAACGAGCAAACCACUCGGUACACCAAUUCUCCACACACACAUUUUUUAAUUAAUUGGUAAAUUAACUACAACUAUACAUCUAAUGGAGAGGGGUUUUUUUGUUUUUUGGUUUUUGUGUUUGUGUAAUUUGUGAUGGCCUCAGAAGGCAAUAUUGUUUACAGAUGGGUAUAGAUAUAAUGGAGCCAAAGGAGACAUCAAAGUUUAUAACCCUGCUGUUGAGCUUGAUGAUGAAUAUAGUACUUCUCAAGUUUGUCUCAUAAAUGGUGCUUAUUAUGACUUUGAGAGUGUUGAAUCUGGAUGGGCGGUAUAUAUAUUAAAAUUAAUAAACCUUUUCACUUUCAUCUUGAAGCUACUUACUUCUGUUACAUUUUAAGUUCACGGCAUUACUUUUUAGUCUGAAAAAAUGCUCUGAAUCCCUUCAGGUAAAUCCCAGCGUAUACGGGGACAGACAGACUCGAUUUUUCGUAUACUGGACUGUAAGCUGGCAUGAAUCAUAAAUUAGUUUUCAUAUGAGUAAUUCCACUAGAUUUGAUAUGAUUUCUGAUGUUCCUGCAGGUUGAUGGUUCAAAGAAAACUGGUUGCUUUGAUCUCACUUGUCCUGGAUUUGUUCAGACUAGCCAUGAAAUUGCUCUUGGUGCAGCCAUCUAUCCAAUCUCUGUUCCUAAUGGGCUUCCAUAUCAAAUAAUAGUCUACAUCUACAAGGUCAGGUCAAUAAUUUAACAACAUAACGUACCUAACCGAUAGUUUAGCAACAUAACAUGUCAACAUUACUACUUGUAACACGAUAAUAGGUUUUCUUCUCGUAUCUUCGAUUGAAUUUCUUUCUGUUUUUGUCUCCAAAUAUAGGAUCCGGUAACAAGCAAUUGGUGGGUGCAAUAUGGGGAGAAAAUUAACGUCGGUUAUUGGCCGCCGGAGCUGUUUGUUGCACUGAGCUACCAUGCAACGAGUGCUGAAUGGGGAGGUGAAGUUUAUAGCUCAAGAGUGGGAACAACUCCUCACACAAAAACAGAUAUGGGCAGUGGACACUUUGCUGAUUCUGUUUGGGGGACUUCAGGCGCCAUAAGAAGAAUCCGAAUACAUGAGAAUUCACCUGGGCUGAAAUUCCCUGAUAUAGUUACUACUUUGAUGGAUGAGUUCAACUGUUAUAAUGUUAGGUAUCUGUCAGAUUAUGUUGAAGAUCCUGAGUUCUAUUAUGGAGGGCCUGGCAGAAAUUAUAUGUGCCCUUAAGCUUAGCUUAGCUUUGCUAGGACUUGUUUAAGACCCAUUAGAAUGGGUAAUUAUGUCGUUUUAAACUUUCAUUUAUUUUUCCAAUAUAAACUAUAAAAACCCAAAACUCUUAUCCUCAAAAUAACGUAGUUUUGGACAUAAACACCAAAAACACAGAUGAUUCUAUUUGUGAGAAUGUGAAGGUAAAGAGUCCCACAUUGGAAAGUUGAGAAACCUAGCAAGGGCUUAUAAGGAGUUGGGUUACUCCCCCCAUUGCCAAUUGGUUUUGGGGUAGAACCUCAACUUCCUUCAUGGUAUCAGAGCAAGGCUUCACAUGUUGAGCCCAACAGCCACACGUGCUCCCACGUCACCCAAUAUGUGUUGUCCACGUGUUAGGCUUGAAAGUUCGCCACACGUGCGGGGGCGUGUUGAGAGUGUUUGUCCCACAUUGAAAUGUUAAGGGACCUAGCCUGGGUUUAUAAGGAGUUGGGCAACUCCCCCCAUUGCCAAUUGGUUUUGGGGUGGAACCUCAACUUCCUUCAUGGUAUCAGAGCAAGGCUUCACGUGUUGGGCCCAACGGCCACACGUGCUCCCACGUCACCCAAUAUGUGUUGUCCACGUGUUAGGCUUGAAAGUUCGCCACACGUGCGGGGGCGUGUUGAGAGUGUCACGUGCUCCACGUCACCCAAAAUGUGUUGUCCACGUGUUAGGCUUGAAAAUUCGCCACACGUGCGGGGACGUGUGAGAAUGUGAAGGUAAAGAGUCCCACAUUGGAAAGUUGAGAAACCUAGCAAGGGCUUAUAAGGAGUUGGGUUACUCCCCCCAUUGCCAAUUGGUUUUGGGGUGGAACCUCAACUUCCUUCACUAUUUCAUCCCAAAAAAGAAAAGCCUUAUGGAGUGGAAAUCUCCUCAUUAAUUGGUAAAAUUUUGCGUUAGUUACUUACCAUCUUCAAUUUGACCGAAGUUCUAUCCAAAGGUUGCACAAUAUUUGAAUUUAGAUUUAGAGAGAAGUGACGUUUUUGGUGUAUUGGCGUCGAUUAUGUAUACAUUAACAAGUUCAAUUUUGCACAAAGGACUUGGAAUUUUUUUAUUUUUUUUAUAAAUAAUAAAUCAAGAAAAAUAUUUGGUUCCUUGUUAAAAAUGAGUCAUUCAUUUUCAGAAUGCAAAUUAAUUUGACAUGAGUGUAAAUUUUUUAACAUGCUUUUAAUAAGUUAUUUAUGUAUAAGUGUUAAGUUGCGAUUUGAAUGUAAGGAGAAACGACUCAGUUAGUUCUAUAAAUCAAACUAGAAGAAACACAUACACAUCCGUGUGUAAUUUGCUAAUUUGUAAUACCGGUUGCAAAGAGAAAGUAGGUAUGGUGGAAGCCUUAAAAGUCCCCCAAUACAUUGUAUAGCCGUGCGGCUCUACUUUUAAAAUUUUCUAUUUAUAAAGUAUAGCCGGCUAUACCCUAAAAACGCCGUGAAAGCAAAUUCUUUCUUUAUAUAUACUAGCCUCUCUACACGCGCUUCCGCGCAUGCGAGAGGUUUUUUUAAAAAAAAUUUUAAAUUUAUUUUAGAAUUAAAAAAGAUAAUAGAUAUUUGUGUUCCAUAAAAAUAGGAUCCAUUAUCUGAAUUUUCUUUUUUUUUUAAUUUUUUUAAUGCGAAAAAUUGUGAAUUUACCAUAUUAUCCUCAUUUAAUUAAUAAUUUCAAUUCUUAAUGUUUGCAUUAACCAAGGGUAUUUUCUGGUAUUUUGAAUGUUUCACCAUUCUCUGCCUUUUGCUUUAUAUAUAUAGAUAGAUAUAUACAUUACCGCCCAAUAGAUUUGUAAUUCAAAGCCGUGCGGCUAUACUAUUUUUUAUAAUAACAACCAUAGUAUAGCCGACCGGCUAUACCCUUUUUAUUAUAUAAAAAAAAUCCGAGUAUAAGUACCAUUUUUAAAAGAGGACCCACUGGAGCCUAGCGCCCCCUUUUGCCAUGUGUCAAAAAUAGUACAGCCGAGCGGCUAUACGCAAUUAAUUAUAAAAAAAUAAGUGUAGCCGAGCGGCUAUACUAUUUAUAAUAAAAAAGGGCCACCGCUUAACGAGCAUGGCCAAAGUAUAGCCGCGCGGCUAUACUCUAUAAAUAUAAUAUUCUGAAGGUAUAGCCGGUUGGCUAGACUCAUACUCGUUUGCCCGUAAUUUGUUUUUAAAAAGUAUAGCCGACCGGCUGGACUCGGCAUUUUCUUAAUUGUUUUUUAAAAAUAGUAUAGCCGAGCGGCUAUACCCGGGUUUUUAAUUUUAUUUUAGGGUUCAGGGUUUAGGGCGGCUAUACUCGUUUUCCCCUAAUUUUUUUAAGAAAUAGUAAAGCCGAGGGAAGGAAUCAAGCCAUAUUGUAGAAAUUUAACAAUCAUUAAUUCAUUGGCUAAAGAUUUGUGUAGCUAGGUUUAACCAAUUCUAAGGAAUUGUUUAAAUAUUCAACAGGAUACCAUCUUGAAUUUAACAUGUGACAAUUCAAAUAUUGAAUAAAAAUGUGAAAGUUGCAUGAUUGGAAGGUGAAUCAUGCAAAUUUUGCAGAUAUAUAUAGUUAUCAGAAAAUAUAUAUAGGUUUAGGAAGAUAACCCAAGCUCAUCUUAGAUUCUGAAAGGAAGAUGAACAAUCUCCAUUUUAUAAUUUUGGGUAUUUGAAUUACCUGAGAUUUAGUACAUAUCAGACAGAGUUUAGUUAACAAAAAAUGGGGAAAGGGUUGUCUGGUGGUGAAGUGAUUAGAUUAAGGGGGAUGAUGGUAAUUAUGGUGGGAGUGACAGUGACUCUAAUUAGAUGUGGGGUGCUUGUGGAGGGCAAUGUGUUCUCUAAACAGAAGAUUCUGGAAGUUGAAAGAAAAUUAACCCAACUUAGAAGGCCUGCAGUUAAAACCAUUCAGGUUUGAAUUGUCCAGAACUUGACAUAAGUUUUCUUCUCAUUGUAUUCAUUUAAUCAGCUCAUAUGAUUGCUUGUAGAGUGAGGAUGGUGAUAUCAUUGAUUGCAUUGACAUUUACAAGCAGCCAGCUUUUGACCAUCCUGCUCUCAGAAACCACACCAUCCAGGUCUCCCUUGUAUAAGUUCUAGUUGAAAGUAAACACAUUUUUCUUCUCUGUGACAUUAUAUAUUUACUGAUAAUCUAACAAAUGCUUUGAGUCUUUUUUCAGAUGGCACCAACAUAUGAUCUGACGAAGGAGACAAAGACAAUGACAAAAAUGGAUAGAUUGAAGAAAAGGAGUGAACAAUCUUCCGUGACAGCAAAGCAAACAUGGAAGAAAAGUGGAAGCUGUCCUCAAGGAACGAUCCCAGUCCGAAGAACUCGAAAAAAGGACCUGCUUAGAGCUAGCUCAGUUAAGGACUAUGGAAGAAAGAAGCACAGUACCCUGUCUCGUCAUGUUGCAGAGCCUAGUGACAACAAAUCUGUCUACCUUCUACGAGCAAACCACUCGGUACAUUAACUUCCCAUUUUCACAUUUUUAAUUGAUAAAUUAAUCACAUCUCAUGAAGAGGGGUUUUUUUUUUGUUGGUAAUUUGUGAUGUCCUCAGAAGGCAAUAUUGCUUACAGAAGGGUACAGUUAUACUGGAGCCAAAGGAGACAUAAAAGUUUGUGCCCCUUCUGUUGAGCUUGAUGAUGAAUAUACUACUUCUCAAGUUUGUCUCAUAAACGGUCCAAGUUUUGCCUUUGAGAGUGUUGAAUCUGGAUGGGCGGUAUAUUAACAUAAACCCUUUCACUUUCAUCUUGAUGCUACUUACUUCUGUUACAUUCUAUGUUCAUGGCAUAACUUUUAGUCCGAAAAAUUACUUGGAAUCCCUCUUUAGGUAAAUCCAAGCGUCUAUGGGGACAGAAAUACUCGAUUUUUCUUAUACUGGACUGUAAGUUGACGUGUUUCAUGACUUAGUUUUCAUGUGAGUAAUUCCACUAGACUUGAUGUGAUUUCUGAUGUUCCUGCAGGCUGAUGGUUCAAAGAAAACUGGUUGCUUUGAUCUUACCUGUCCUGGAUUUGUUCAGACUAGCCAUGAAAUUGCUCUUGGUGCAGCAAUUUAUCCAAUCUCUGCUCCUGAUGGGCUUCCAUAUGAGAUAAUUGUCUACAUCUUCAAGGUCAGCUCAACAGUUUAGUAACAUAACAUGUACAGUUUAGCAACAUAUAUAUCUGAUAUCUGAAAAAGACAAUGUAAUAUUAAGUGUUCUUCUCAUAUCUUCGAUUGAGUUUCUUUUUUAUUUGCUUCCAAAUUUAGGAUCCAGUAACAAGCAAUUGGUGGGUGCAAUACGGGGAGAGAAUUAACAUCGGUUAUUGGCCUCCGGAGCUGUUUUUUGCAUUGAGCUAUCAUGCAACAGGUGUUGAAUGGGGAGGUGAAGUCUAUAGCUCAAGAGUUGGAACUACUCCCCACACAAAAACAGAUAUGGGGAAUGGACGCUUUGCUAGUACUGCGGGAUUUUCAGGUGUCAUAACAAGAAUGAGAAUACAUGACAAUUCACCUGCACUGAAAAUCC